This 216-nucleotide ribosomal RNA is filed under the name uncultured bacterium. Its description in RNAcentral is "partial 16S ribosomal RNA". It matches the Rfam family "Bacterial small subunit ribosomal RNA", at positions 28 to 245 of the family's 1533-position model. The record is from RNAcentral.
GACGAACGCUGGCGGCGUGCUUAACACAUGCAAGUCGAGCGGUAAGGCCCUUUCGGGGGUACACGAGCGGCGAACGGGUGAGUAACACGUGGGUGACCUGCCCUUAGCUCUGGGAUAAGCCUGGGAAACUGGGUCUAAUACCGGAUAUGACUCCAUAACGCAUGUUGUGGGGUGGAAAGCCUUGUGCGGCUAGGGAUGGGCCCGCGGCCUAUCAGC